AGAGAGAGACAUGCGCGCAUAUCAAUAAGCGGAGGAAAAGAAACUAACAAGGAUUCCCUUAGUAACGGCGAGUGAAGCGGGAAGAGCUCAAAUUUGAAAUCUUCAAGGUUCUACCUUGACGAAUUGUAGUUUAAAGAAGUGUUUUCUGCUGAAGUUUUGGUAAAAGUUCUUUGGAAUAGGACAUCAUAGAGGGUGAGAAUCCCGUAUUUGACCAUUAUUUUCAGCUUUGUGAUACACUUUCAAAGAGUCGGAUUGUUUGGGAAUGCAGUCCAAAAUGGGUGGUAAAUUUCAUCUAAAGCUAAAUAUUGGCGAGAGACCGAUAGCGAACAAGUACCGUGAGGGAAAGAUGAAAAGAACUUUGAAAAGAGAGUUAAACAGUACGUGAAAUUGUCAAAAGGGAAGCGUUUGACACCAGUGUUGUUUUCUCGAAAAUCAAUUAAAAAUGGCCUCGAUUUUGUAUUGUUGAGACCUUAAAAGCUCACUGUACAUUUUUCGUGUCUUUUUUAAUGCACUUUUCGUUUAACAAGUCAACAUCAGUUUCUUUUGUUGUAAAAGGGUCAUUGGAAGGUGGCUUUCUUUUCGGAGAAAGUGUUUAUAGCCUUUGGCCUCUGCAAUCGAAGAGACUGAGGUCUGCAGCGUAGACUCUUCGGGGUUAGAUACAUUUGUGCUAAGUUAUAGCUUUUUAUAGACAACUUGUUGACUAUAAUUAGUCUUGUAGCUUACUCGCUUAUGCUAUUUUACCUACGCUUAGGAUGUUGAAGUCAUCGUAUCGCGC
This 775-nucleotide ribosomal RNA is filed under the name uncultured Neocallimastigales. Its description in RNAcentral is "partial large subunit ribosomal RNA". It matches the Rfam family "Eukaryotic large subunit ribosomal RNA", at positions 23 to 645 of the family's 3401-position model. Lineage: Eukaryota; Fungi; Neocallimastigomycota; Neocallimastigomycetes; Neocallimastigales. The record is from RNAcentral.